Long non-coding RNA from Bombus terrestris (buff-tailed bumblebee), 4275 nucleotides. RefSeq lists it as uncharacterized. The transcript has 2 exons. NCBI's taxonomy places the organism in Eukaryota, Metazoa, Arthropoda, Insecta, Hymenoptera, Apidae. The record is from RefSeq and is a predicted model, not a curated record.
AUCAAUUUUCGAUAUUCCGCAAUGAAAUCGUUUUCAUAUUCUAACAUUUUAGAGCUACAACUUGUGUAAAGAGCUAUAGCUAAAUGGAACACCCAGUAUAGGUAUAUGAUAUAUGUAUGUGUUCGUUGCACAACUAUAUUGCUGCAACGGACAAUGCAACUUGCACACAACAACUUUUUCGUACAGAUAAAGCUAGAAUAGCGUUAACAAGGAUAUAACGAACAGUGAUAAAUAAGGAAAAUUUUCGUAGAAACAAGGCAUUAAAUCACAAUAUUGAAAUAAAAUUCAAGUUGAAUCACUAGCAUAAACUUCAAUACUUUGCCUCAGAUAGUUCGCACAGACAUUUUGUUCAAGGAUAGCAAAGAUUCUUCACGGAUACGUCAAAAAUCUUGGUGUUUAUUCUUCAAAGGUCAGGUAUUCAUCUUUAAUAUUUUUAUCUAUUUGUUAUCUUCAAUAAUCUAUUUGUCAUUUUUUCUUCCAGUCAAUUUACUAAAGAUUAUUAUUUUUUUUUAAAUUUUACUGCCAUUUUAGUAUUUCUAAAAUUACGUAUAUUAUCAUUAUGAGUAAAGUAUUUAUUUUUUCAUAUUUAAAGUAUUUUUCUAUUUUAUAGAAUCAAACUGUUCAUAAUACUAUAAUAAAUUACUUUCUUUUUAAAUUAUGCUUAAAAUAUUCGUUUUAAUUAAUAUUUUUGGAUCUUUAACCUGGUUUCUAUCAAAUGUCUAUUAUUGAUAAAACAAUACGUAAGUUAUAUUAUGUUACAUUUCUUGAUAUUUAUUAAAGAUUCACUGCUUAACUAGUUCUUAAUGAAUAGAUUCUCUAGAAUUCUUUUGUCUAACAAUGGAAACGUAUUAACGAAUUCUUAUAAAUGUGUACAAUACGUAUUUUUUCAUAGAAACUCUCAAGUUGUUGACAGUUGUCAAUCAUUUACGUGUUUGUGAAUCACCUUGAUCUCUUUAAACGACGAUCGUGAUCGGUAAGUUAAAAAGACUAAGAGGAAUGACUCUUGUCAUUACGUAUAUAUUUACGACCAUACGCGUAACGCAUCUUGAUUUCUACUUUCCUAUCUCCAGUACAUUAGGAUUCCCCGAUCAUCGCAUCGCUGUAAUUACGCCACGUUUACGAUAUCCAUAACACGUACAUGUAUAUAUAUGCUAACAUAUACGAGAACACGAUGAAUUAUGACUAAAUUAUUCGUUCUUCGAUUUCCAAUUUCCACGAUAUACAAUUAUAAAUGUAUAAUUAUCAUAAAUGUAAUAUACAAUGGCUAUAAAAACUAUUUGUACUUGUAUUUUUCAUAUUAUAUUUAUGUAUUACAUGUUACAGUUUGAUAUGAAACUUAAUAUGCUAGACCUUAAUUAAUUAAUAUGUAAAUGCUAUAAUAAGCAAAAUGAUGCAAGGAUACUUUUUAUAGUCACUGUAUAUUCUUCGUUGAAGUUGCACUGUAAAUAUUUAAUAGUAAGUGAGAUUAUUCGUCUUGUAGUACGAAAGUCUCGAGACGUGUCGAUAAUCUCACGUUUAAAAAUAUAGAGUCACCUAAAGAACAAAGUAAACACCAAGCAUGGAAACAUACGUGUGAAAGUUAACGCCGUGAAAUUUCAAGCCAGUUAUCAAAUUUGUAGCAAUGCCACUUGAGAGAUUAUCUCAAUUAGGACAAAAAGCCUCAUGCUACCUUAAGUCUCAAAGUUUUCGUGUUGGCAAUAUCGACUAAUUGAAAUAACCUACAACUGUUUUUGUUUAUAAUUGUCAUGUCGUAUUACACUGUCAAACGUCCUGUAUAACAAAAAACGGGAAGUAGUUUAGAACCACUUAUAAACCUAUAAGAUCUUAUAUAUUUUAUCAAAUGAUCCAGUAUACGAGUUCUUUUAUUUUUCUUUCACUUCUAGAAGUAUUUCUCGAAUCUUUAUUAUUUUAUCUCUGUGGUGUCGCGAUUAAGCGUUAUCGAUCACGUGUGUCGAGCACUGUGAAAUUUGAUCGGAUAAACCUGCGAAUUAAUCGAUAUUAGAAUUUUCGGUGACAUUGGCGCGAUAGAGAGCCAAACAGAUUGUGUAGAACCCAGGUUGGUCAGCGUGACAAGGUUACAGACCAAUUAAGGAGAGACAUGGUGGUACCGUGUCCCCAUUGCGCGAUCCCCCUCGAACGAGCCUUUGCGUAAUGUCUUUAUUUACAAACCAUAUGCGAACCAUAUAGCAAUUUCACCAAUCAGGCCACUGAUGCCUGACACCGGGUAAGGCCGAGGGUACGUUCCGCGUGUCUUUAGCUAAAUUUACACCUUUUAGUUUUCGAUGACCAUCGCGGGUCAUUCAUUGAAAAACACUGUUUUUGUACAAAGUGACCAUGAAUUGAGCUGGUAGAGUGUACUAUAGCUUUUAUUUUUCACAUUCACUGUGGAUGAGUCAUUUACGAUAAUCCUUCAAAAUGGUAGGUGUAUUGGUAGGUAAAUUCGGCUUGAAUCGUCGAUCGAACCGUAAUCAUUGAUAAGCGACCAUGAUCUGGACCGUUCCCCAUGUAAAGUGAAGUAAGUCCAUAGAAACUUGUAACCUUACAGAAUUUUUCAAGAAUGAUGCCACCUCUUUAUGAAUCGUAAAAUUAACGGUACAUUGUGAACUUUCAGAGAAAGGAAAAGGAAAGGAAUGGAGGUGAUGCCGUAGAAGAGAAAAAUUAAAAUUUCAGAUGAACAAGUUUCCAAUAAACAAACAUUUAAUGUAAAAAUAGUAUGAUUAUUCAUCCAGAUCUCGUCAACGCAUCGAUUGUCACGCGAAUUUUAUAUUUAUAUCAUUAUAUUAUAAUAAAUAUAUUAUAUCAUAACAUUUAAUUUUUGUAAAAUAUCAAUUGUAUUUGCGCACUGUUUUUUUAUAUUGUUAUCUAAAUCAUUGACACAAUUGAAAAUUAGUCAAUCCAUGAAAUUUAUCUUAUUUUAAUCAUUCUUAAAAAUUUAGUAACUUAGGUCACCUGUUAACAUCGCUAUAGUCAACAUGUAAAACCGGAUCAAUCUCGAUCAAUCUGGAUUAUCGAGAUCGAACGAUCCAAAUCCGGAUUAUCGAGUUCCGCGUUCAUUUUAUUAAUUAUGGAAAAAGGAGAAAUGAAAUUUCAUUGAUGUAAUUAUAAUUUGUAGGAAAUUAUCCGGAUUAGCGAUACUCGAUUGCGCAUGAUGUCAGACUGCGAUUAAUGUGCAAACGCAUUUCGAUCGGACGUCUCGACAAAGUAUUUGUUACACAAACAUAAUCUUCUAUUAAACAAACUUGCGAUUCAAAUAUAAUAUUUAGAUAACAAGUCAAGCAAUUAUUAUACAUGCAGUUAUAGACAACUUGACAUGAAUUAAUCAAGAAUUUCAGCGGCGAUCCUUUGUACACAAUGUUUGUUGCACUACCGGAGUAUAUUGCAUAUGUGUUACGUAGAUAUAUGAGCAUCGAUGGCUAUUUUUCGAUCCUUGAAAUCUAUAUUUUCACUUUUAUAACCGUCGUCAUAAAAAGGGAACAAUAACGACGUAACGAGAACGAGUUAUAAAAACACAAAAAAUGAACUCAACACAGUGGAAUGGAAACAAUAGUAAAUAAUCGAAACGUCUCGAAAACAAUUUACGUGUGAACAGCGGAUACGUAUCCUUAGUUGGAGUAUCAAUUAUUACACAUGUAGCCAGGUAUGCGGAUUGAAAGUAUGUACUAAUGAAGGAGAAAGGAGUUUUUUUUGUAUCUGCACUACACAACUACAGAGUAAAUGAAAAUCAUGUACGUAACAAACGCUAUACACGUAAAUACGGAUCACGUAACCUCUCACGUAUAAUCUUUCUAAAAAUUCUUUUCUUUUAAAGAAGUACUGUCUUGAUAAAUAGCCAGCGUAUCUUCGAUCCUUCUUAGUGUUACUGUCUCACUUCAUUCCUAUCUCAGACCACGUAGCAGAAUUCUUGUAAGCCAUUACUGGCAUGGACCAGAUUCAGUCCUAAUCCAUGAUCAGUUAAAAAAUCAAUACUAUAUCUUCUAAAACCUAUAUUUUUGAAAGUUGCUGAUAUCUUUUAAAUCUUAUGUUCGAUAAACUGAUAAAAUAAAUUAGUGACAUUCCGAUCAAACAAAUAAAUUACUUGAAUUAUCAAUCAAAUUAUUAACUUGUUAUAUAACUGAAUAAUAAAAAUUGAAAGAUUGCAGUUGAGAACAGGUGACAUUUGGUCUUCUUAUCAUAUCGCUCCCUUUGCAAACUUGGAUAAGAGAUCUAAGAAUAAUAUAUCGUCGUUCUUAAUCGUACAAUUAUGAUUAAAAAUAAAUCUGCAUUUUUUAUUGCAAA